ANAAUUUGCAAUCAGGGUAAGGGCAGACGGGAACCAGCCUGCCGGCGUUACACCGACAGCUCUGAUGGUUGCAGUUCUUUGUUAGGCCUAAAACUUCCGAAGCACCGUAAAGUAAAUACCUGGGGAAACCUGNUAGNUUAACUUUGAAAUGACNGAAUGCUAUUNUUUGUAUCAGACCGGGAAAUGUCAGUGUACUCGCCUGUCAAACGUGAAGAUUNUGAGUAGCGGGAUGACGAAAGAUCAAGGGAGGAAUCUAAAUGGAAGUUUUGGCGAAGAGGGAUGAAAAUGGAGAGCAGCGAACUGGAUUAGAUACUGAAAGUAAUUUAUCCAGUAAGCGAUGGGGGAUUUGGGGUAAGGUAACUCCGAGUUGGUAUAGUGGGGUAAAGAAGGGGUUAAGUCCGCNGGUUGGGAAGUACGGUGGCAAGAUUGAAAAUUAAAGGAAUGGGGGGGAGAGCACCACAAAGAGGGGAGCCUGUGGUUUAAUUGGAUUUAANGCCGGACAUCUCACCAGUGGGGACAAAUGUAUAAUAGACAGGUAAAUGGAUUUGGUUGAUUAGUUGAGAGGAGGUGCAUGGCCGCCGUCAGAUUGCACGNUGAGGCGUCUUGUUAAGUCAGGCAACGAGCGAGACCCACGCCCUUAGUUACCAGGUUAUCCUUUUUUGGAUGAUGGGCACAGUAAGGGGACCGCCAGUGAUAAACUGGAGGAAGGAGUGGAAGACCGUAGGUCAGUAUGCCCCGAAUCCUCUGGGCAACACGCGGGCUACAAUGGUUAAGACAAUGGGUUCCGACACUGAAAGGCGGAGGUAAUCCUCUAAACUUAGUUGUAGUUGGGAUUGAGGACUGCAACUCGUUAUCAUGAAGAUGGAAUGUGUAGUAAUCGAGUAUCACUAUUGCGCGGAGAAUACGUCCUUACUCCUUGCACACACNGA
RNAcentral lists this ribosomal RNA (929 nucleotides) under uncultured archaeon. RNAcentral describes it as "partial 16S ribosomal RNA". It matches the Rfam family "Archaeal small subunit ribosomal RNA", at positions 419 to 1349 of the family's 1478-position model. The record is from RNAcentral.